Molecule: unclassified non-coding RNA, 200 nt
Filed under: soil metagenome
Description: partial contains internal transcribed spacer 2 and large subunit ribosomal RNA
Source: RNAcentral
CAGCCGGCUCCUCUCAAAUGAAUCAGCUUACCAGUCUUUGGUGGCGUCACGGGUGUGAUAACUAUCUACGCUUGUGAGUCCGUCUGCCAGGUAACCUUCAGCGAUGGAGGUUUGCUGGAGCUUAUAAACGUCUCUCCUCAGCGAGGACAAAUUUUUGAACGUUCGAUCUCAAAUCAGGUAGGACUACCCGCUGAACUUAA